This 128-nucleotide ribosomal RNA is filed under the name Escherichia coli. RNAcentral describes it as "partial 23S ribosomal RNA". The stretch from base 1 to 111 matches the Rfam family "Bacterial large subunit ribosomal RNA", at positions 2812 to 2925 of the family's 2925-position model. Lineage: Bacteria; Pseudomonadati; Pseudomonadota; Gammaproteobacteria; Enterobacterales; Enterobacteriaceae. The record is from RNAcentral.
UCCCUGAGAGUCCUGAAGGAACGUUGAAGACGACGACGUUGAUAGGCCGGGUGUGUAAGCGCAGCGAUGCGUUGAGCUAACCGGUACUAAUGAACCGUGAGGCUUAACCUUACAACGCCGAAGMUGUU